UACAGAAAGUGACCCAGAGUGGUUGUGGAC
Molecule: non-coding RNA, 30 nt
Filed under: Rattus norvegicus (Norway rat)
Lineage: Eukaryota; Metazoa; Chordata; Mammalia; Rodentia; Muridae
Source: RNAcentral